This is a long non-coding RNA of Hemicordylus capensis (graceful crag lizard), 1106 nucleotides long. RefSeq lists it as uncharacterized. Lineage: Eukaryota; Metazoa; Chordata; Lepidosauria; Squamata; Cordylidae. The transcript has 4 exons. The record is from RefSeq and is a predicted model, not a curated record.
GGAAAGUCAGCAUUCAGGAAUCAUCAGUUAAUGCUCCAUCAUGAAAAAUUUAGGACCAGGAUUUCUCCUGUUUCUUGCCCUACUGGGAUUAAUCGCUGGAGAGGAGCUGGGCGUUCCACUGAGCAGCAGACGGAUUUGUGCCAAUCGGAUGGGGAUCUGUCGCCACUCCUGCUUGCCUCAUGAGCUCCACAUUGGGAUUCACGGCUGCCCACGUCGCUAUAAGUGCUGCGUGGUGAGGAUCUAGCAGAUCUGACGGCUGACAUCAAUCCAUCCAGACCGCUCCAGGGGCCAGGCCAUGCAGCCUCACAGGCAGCUGUUCUACCAAUUGCUCCUGGUGCCUGAAGCAGCUUCUAGGUGGGCAUGUGACUGGCUGCUCUGCAAUCAAGACAUUUCCCCCACUGAUGACUUCUCAUCUAAUCUGCCAGAGAGGGAUGGAAACCAGCCUUGUCAAAACCUACAAACAAGAAGGAUGUUCACGACAAAUUCCUGUUUGUUUUGCUCAACAGUUGAAGCAGUGGUGGGCAGGCCUGCUCAACUUUGCCCCCCCAGCUGUUUUUGGACUACAACUCCCGUAAUCCCCAGGCACAGUGGCCAAGAGCCAGGGAUCAUGGGAGUUGUAGGCCAACAUCUGUAGGAGGGCCAACGUUGAGCAGCCCUGUGAUAAUGUUGGGCUAAGACCAAUACGACCUGCAUCGAAAUCCCCACCCUGUCGUGAACUUCACUGAGUGACCAUGGGCCAGCCACUCUCUCUCAGCCUAACCUUCCUCACAGGGCUGUUGUGUGGAUGAAAUGUGGGAGGGGAGAAAGCCACAUCCACUGCCCUGAGCUCCUUGCAGGAAGGAUGGGACAAAAAUGUCUUAACAAUGAAAGGAUGCAUUGACACUGAACGCUCAGAUUGUUUUGAAACUAGCUCAAAUGUGGGUUGCCAGAUGUUGUUGAACUACAACCCCAUCAUUCCCAGCCACAAUGGUCACAGGCCACUGUGGCUGGGGAUGAUGGGAGUUGCAGUCCCAACAAUGUGUGGGAAUCAAAUGUUAAGGACCCCUCCACUAAACCUUAGGGAUGAAGCAGGGUAUAACUGGAGUCAAUAAAUAAUUGCCCCAUUU